This 110-nucleotide Y RNA is filed under the name Propithecus coquereli (Coquerel's sifaka). RNAcentral's name for it is "Y RNA (ENSPCOG00000001978.1)". It matches the Rfam family "Y RNA". Rfam says of the family: Y RNAs are components of the Ro ribonucleoprotein particle (Ro RNP), in association with Ro60 and La proteins. Lineage: Eukaryota; Metazoa; Chordata; Mammalia; Primates; Indriidae. The record is from Rfam by way of RNAcentral.
GGCUGGUCUGAAGGUAGUGAGUUAUCUCACUUAAUUGUUCACAGUCACAGAUUGAACUCCUUGUUCUACUACUUUCCACCCUUCUCACUACUGCACUUGACUAGUCUAAA